RNAcentral lists this transfer RNA (72 nucleotides) under Apaloderma vittatum (bar-tailed trogon). It matches the Rfam family "tRNA". Rfam says of the family: Transfer RNA (tRNA) molecules are approximately 80 nucleotides in length. The record is from Rfam by way of RNAcentral. Lineage: Eukaryota; Metazoa; Chordata; Aves; Trogoniformes; Trogonidae.
GGAUUGAAAGCUAACUGUUAGAGCAUGGUGCUGAUAACGCCAAGGUCGUGGGUUUGAUCCCCGUUCGGUCCC